UAUUAGUGUAUACAACAUUGUUUUGGGUUGUAUUGAUGAACAUAUCGUUGUAUAGUGUUCGCAAGGUGUAUAUAUCAUAGUAUAGUGUUGACAAGGUGUAUAUAUCAUAGUAUAGUGUUGAAAGGUGUAGAUAUCAUAGUAUAGUGUUGAAAGGUGUAUAUAUCAUUGUAUAGUAUUGUAAAGGUGUAUAUAGCUGUGUACUGCGUUGGUAUUGUACACAGCAUUGUUUUGUGAAGUAUUGAUGAACAUAUCGUUGUAUAGUGUUGACAAUGUGUAUAUAUCAUAGCAUAGUGUUGGCAAGGUGUAUAUAUCAUAGUGUAGUGUUGAAAGGUGUAUAUGUCAUUGCUUAGUAUUGUAAAGGUGUAUAUAGCUGUGUACUGCGUUGUUAGUGUAUACAACAUUGUUUUGGGUUGUAUUGAUGAACAUAUCGUUGUAUAGUGUUGACAAGGUGUAUAUAUCAUAGUAUAGUGUUGAAAGG
Molecule: long non-coding RNA, 478 nt
Organism: Haliotis rubra (blacklip abalone)
Lineage: Eukaryota; Metazoa; Mollusca; Gastropoda; Lepetellida; Haliotidae
Exons: 4
Source: RefSeq, a predicted model, not a curated record